This is a small nucleolar RNA of Carassius auratus (goldfish), 138 nucleotides long. Ensembl annotates it as small nucleolar RNA SNORA57. The record is from Ensembl. Lineage: Eukaryota; Metazoa; Chordata; Actinopteri; Cypriniformes; Cyprinidae.
CCUCCUUCUAUCGGCAUACAUGUGGUUGUUCAGUACACAUGUGUGUAAUGGGGAGGAGGUAAAGAAAAGCCAGUGCUAUGUCUAUGGUUCCAGCUUGUUUAUUGUCUGCUGGUUCUAUCCUCAAUCACUGGAGCAAGC